Molecule: ribosomal RNA, 459 nt
Filed under: uncultured bacterium
Lineage: Bacteria
Description: partial 16S ribosomal RNA
Rfam family: Bacterial small subunit ribosomal RNA
Source: RNAcentral
CCUACGGGAGGCAGCAGUGAGGAAUAUUGGUCAAUGGGCGGGAGCCUGAACCAGCCAAGCCGCGUGAGGGAAGAAGGUACAGCGUAUCGUAAUCCUCUUUUGUCAGGGAACAAAGGCGGGGACUAGUCCCCGGAUGAGGGUACCUGAAGAAAAAGCAUCGGCUAACUCCGUGCCAGCAGCCGCGGUAAUACGGAGGAUGCGAGCGUUAUCCGGAUUUAUUGGGUUUAAAGGGUGCGCAGGCGGUCUGUUAAGUCAGCGGUCAAAGCCCGGGGCUCAACCCCGGCCCGCCGUUGAAACUGGCAGUCUCGAGUUGGAGAGAAGUAUGCGGAAUGCGCGGUGUAUCGGUGAAAUGCAUAGAUAUCGCGCAGAACUCCGAUUGCGAGGGCAGCAUGCCGGCUCCACACUGACGCUGAGGCACGAAAGCGUGGGUAUCGAACAGGAUUAGAUACCCCGGUAGUC